GUGAGGAAUAUUGGUCAAUGGGCGAGAGCCUGAACCAGCCAAGUAGCGUGCAGGAUGACGGCCCUAUGGGUUGUAAACUGCUUUUACACGGGGAUAAAGUGUGCGACGUGUCGUUCAUUGCAGGUACCGUGCGAAUAAGGACCGGCUAAUUCCGUGCCAGCAGCCGCGGUAAUACGGAAGGUCCGGGCGUUAUCCGGAUUUAUUGGGUUUAAAGGGAGCGUAGGCCGUCUGUUAAGCGUGUUGUGAAAUGUAGAUGCUCAACAUCUGAAUUGCAGCGCGAACUGACCGACUUGAGUGCGCAGGAAGUAGGCGGAAUUCGUGGUGUAGCGGUGAAAUGCUUAGAUAUCACGAAGAACUCCGAUUGCGAAGGCAGGUUACUACUUGUGGAUUGACGCUGAUGGACGAAAGCGUGGGGAGCGAACAGGAUUAGAUACCCCGGUAGUCC
RNAcentral lists this ribosomal RNA (445 nucleotides) under uncultured bacterium. RNAcentral describes it as "partial 16S ribosomal RNA". It matches the Rfam family "Bacterial small subunit ribosomal RNA", at positions 354 to 796 of the family's 1533-position model. The record is from RNAcentral.